This 433-nucleotide ribosomal RNA is filed under the name uncultured bacterium. Its description in RNAcentral is "partial 16S ribosomal RNA". It matches the Rfam family "Bacterial small subunit ribosomal RNA", at positions 29 to 507 of the family's 1533-position model. The record is from RNAcentral.
AACGAACGCUGGCGGCAUGCCUAACACAUGCAAGUCGAACGAGACCUUCGGGUCUAGUGGCGCACGGGUGCGUAACGCGUGGGAACCUGCCCUUAGGUUCGGAAUAACUCCCCGAAAGGGGUGCUAAUACCGGAUAAUGUCUUCGGACCAAAGAUUUAUCGCCUUUGGAUGGGCCCGCGUUGGAUUAGCUAGUUGGUAGGGUAAAAGCCUACCAAGGCGACGAUCCAUAGCUGGUCUGAGAGGAUGAUCAGCCACACUGGGACUGAGACACGGCCCAGACUCGUACGGGAGGCAGCAGUAGGGAAUAUUGGACAAUGGGCGAAAGCCUGAUACAGCAAUGCCGCGUGAGUGAUGAAGGCCUUAGGGUUGUAAAGCUCUUUUACCCGGGAUGAUAAUGACAGUACCGGGAGAAUAAGCUCCGGCUAACUACGUG